This is a long non-coding RNA of Lutra lutra (Eurasian river otter), 1573 nucleotides long. RefSeq lists it as uncharacterized. The record is from RefSeq and is a predicted model, not a curated record. The transcript has 3 exons. NCBI's taxonomy places the organism in Eukaryota, Metazoa, Chordata, Mammalia, Carnivora, Mustelidae.
UGAGGGGAAGAGGGAAAUCAAGGACAAUCUCUUGAUCUGUGACUAGAGUAACUGGGUGAAUUGAAGUGCUAUUUACCGAGAUGGGGAGGAACAGCAUUUGGGUGGGGGGAAGCCAAACACUGUUAGGACAGACAUGUUACGUUUGAAAUGCCUACUGGCUAUCUAAGUGGAGAUGUCCAACAGGCAGUUGGCUAUGUGGUCUGGAACUCAACUGGGGAGGUCUAGCUAGAGAUAGAAAUAUUCAGGAGGUUUCGGUAGAUGUCAUUCAAAGCCACAAGCCAGGAUGAGAGUCCCAAAGACGUAAGUGUGAAUGGCAAAGAACACAGGUGCAGGACUGAACCCUGGGGCCUCCCAACGUUUAAUGGUCAAGAGAUGAGAAGAGACCAGCGAAGAAGACUGGAUAGAAAUGGCUAGUAAAGUUGAAGGGAAACAGAGGGAACUAUCCUGAAAGCUAAGAGAAAUGGGUGUUUUCUGUCAGCCAGGGGCCAGUUGGAGCACAGAAGCCAAACUCAGAAUUGUAAACAGAAAGAACCGAACGCGAGGAAGCGGUUACUCAGGUGAGAGCUAUUCCUCUCAGGAAGCGCUGGCAAGCUAAGGAGGGGAUGGUGAACUAACCCAGAGACCAGCAACAGCAGGAAGCCAUUCCCCUUGAGGGCUUCUAGCUGCUUCCCCUUCACAGGGGGUGAAAGCAGAAGUUGGUGUUACUCAAGUCCAGGGUCAGGGACCACCCAGCAGAAGCAGGAAGGCUGGCCCCACGGGAGCUUGGUCCACAGAGGGAGGGCCUACGGGGGGGCCACGGAAGAGAUGCAGUGAGUGUUAGAGAUGACACUGCGCACAGAGGGAAAGGAAGGGGAGCACCCUCGCUUCUCCCCUCCUCCUGCUCUCCAGUCUUCAGCCAGUAAUGCCCAUUGGCCAAACCCGCCCGGAAGUCAGAGGGGCAGGACACCCGGGAUCUGUAAUUGUCUGUACUACACAGCGGAGCAGAACAGGCGAAGUGGCCAGCACAUGGAAAGAAACCAAGGCGCUGGGAGGUCUAGAGACCUAGCUGUUACAGCACUGUCAGAGCCUAGUGACACCUGACGCUUUCUGAGGACCUACUAUGUGCCGAGGACGGUGCUAGGUGCUGGGACAUGAUAGUGAGCUGAAGCAGAGAUCUGCGGCCUCUGGCACGACCUUCCUGCCUCUGUCUAGAUGCCCUGCGCUAUGCCUCUUUACUGAAAUCCAGUCCGAUCCUCAAGGUGUGGGGUGAGCCUGGCCUCCACCUGCCAAAGCCCACCGUUCUCAUUGUCACCUAGAACGCACUUUCUUCCUCCUUCAAGAAGCAGUUAGCAAGCAGCUACUGUGUAUUUUAGCAAACGGAAAAAUCAAACCUUUUGUGGAGCCUCUCGGAACGCACAAAGAGCUUUCAUAAAUAUUUGAUUGUUUGAUUGUUGCAAAACGCUACCAAUGCCAUUUUACUUUUCAGCUAUAAAAUGUCAUUUAGGGGCACCUGGCCGGCUCAGUCUCUAGAGCGUGCGACUCUUGAUCUCAGGGUUGUGAGCUGGAGCCCCACGUUGGGGUGUAGUGAUUACUU